CCUACGGGAGGCUGCAGUGGGGAAUAUUGGACAAUGGGGGGAACCCUGAUCCAGCGACGCCGCGUGAGUGAAGAAGUAUUUCGGUAUGUAAAGCUCUAUCAACAGAGAAGAAAAUGGCGGUACCUGACUAAGAAGCCCAGGCUACCUACGUGCCAGCCGCCGAGGUACUACGUAGGGGGCAAGCGUUAUCCGGAUUUACUGGGUGUAAAGGGAGCGUCGACGGUGCAUCAGGUCUGAUGUGAAGGGUCGGGGCCCAAACCCGGGACUGCAUUUGAAACUGUUGAACUUGAGUACAGGAGAGGUAAGCGGAAUUCCUAGUGUAGCGGUGAAAUGCGUAGAUAUUAGGAGGAACACCAGUGGCGAAGGCGGCUUACUGGACUGUAACUGACGUUGAGGCUCGAAAGCGUGGGUAGCAAACAGGAUUAGAUACCCGGGGAGUC
RNAcentral lists this ribosomal RNA (440 nucleotides) under uncultured bacterium. Its description in RNAcentral is "partial 16S ribosomal RNA". It matches the Rfam family "Bacterial small subunit ribosomal RNA", at positions 338 to 795 of the family's 1533-position model. The record is from RNAcentral.